GCAGAGAUGGCAGAUGCAAAUCAGCACGAACAUCAUGUAUUAACUUCUCCAUAUUAGCCUUAUAUGUAUCGACGCAAUGCUGAGAUAAUGUAUCACUCUCUCCUUGAUACCAAAGCAAUGCCUUGAUUUCUCCUCCAUGACUCAUGGCAGCUCUAGCUCUGUUGAUCAUAUUCACAUACAAGUGUUGCCCGUGUGCCCACUCCUUUAUCGCAGUUCCUCCUACAGCACAUGGCACUAACCCAAUAGCUUCCACUCGGUCCUUGAUUGCAUUUGCAAAUGACAUUCCAGGUCCAACACCACAUGUCUUCUUCGCAUCAAUGUCAUGGUGGAGUGGCUCACGUGCCACCUCAUAAUGGAGGUGUGCACUAAGACGGAAAAUUCUAGAAGCAUCUGGAUGGCACUCGUUUGGUACAACGCCAUCCCAGUGAUGCUUUUCUACUCCACCACGACCAGCCAUGUUGCUUUGCCCAGAUAGAAUGAAUACAUUUUUGGGGGAAUAAGCUACAUUUUCCACGGUUGAGUCCAUAGUUCAGAGGUCAAGAUGCUGUGAUUGAAAGCGGUUUUUUUCUAACCAGGGAAUUAACACUAAGCAAAAAACCCAAGUAAAUUCUCCAAAGAAACUGAAUCCGAAUGAAGAAUAGAAUAAUUGCGGAGAAGAUGAACAAACGACGCCGUAAGGUCACUGAUCUAG
Molecule: unclassified non-coding RNA, 691 nt
Filed under: Hevea brasiliensis (rubber tree)
Lineage: Eukaryota; Viridiplantae; Streptophyta; Magnoliopsida; Malpighiales; Euphorbiaceae
Source: RNAcentral